RNAcentral lists this ribosomal RNA (253 nucleotides) under uncultured bacterium. Its description in RNAcentral is "partial 16S ribosomal RNA". It matches the Rfam family "Bacterial small subunit ribosomal RNA", at positions 524 to 776 of the family's 1533-position model. The record is from RNAcentral.
UACAGAGGUCUCAAGCGUUGUUCGGAUUCAUUGGGCGUAAAGGGUGCGUAGGCGGCGCGGUAAGUCGGGUGUGAAAUUUCGAGGCUUAACUUCGAAACUGCAUUCGAUACUGCCGUGCUAGAGGACUGGAGAGGAGACUGGAAUUUACGGUGUAGCGGUGAAAUGCGCAGAUAUCAGGAGGAACACCGGUGGCGAAGGCGGUGAUCUGGGCCGACACUGACGCUGUAGAGCGAAAGCGUGGGGAGCGAACAGG